RNAcentral lists this transfer RNA (61 nucleotides) under Oncopodura yosiiana. RNAcentral's name for it is "tRNA-Ala". The record is from RNAcentral. Lineage: Eukaryota; Metazoa; Arthropoda; Collembola; Entomobryomorpha; Oncopoduridae.
AAGAAUUUAGUUAAUUAUAAUAUUUAAUUUGCACUUAAAAGGUCCCUUACAGGAUUUCUUA